RNAcentral lists this small RNA (911 nucleotides) under Pongo abelii (Sumatran orangutan). RNAcentral describes it as "retained intron". Lineage: Eukaryota; Metazoa; Chordata; Mammalia; Primates; Hominidae. The record is from RNAcentral.
GGAGCCAAGGGAGGCAAAGUGAAGCUUCUGGGGAAACCUGUGCAGAUGCCCUCUCUGAACUGGCCAGAAGCCCUGCCCCCACCUCCUCCUUCUUGUGAACUGAGCUGCCUAGAGGGGCCGGAGGAGGAGCUGGAGGGCAGCUCAGAGCCAGAGGAGUGGUGCCCGCCAAUGCCUGAGAGAAGUCACCUGAUGGAACCCAGCUCCAGUGGGGGGUGCCCGGUCACUCCAUCCCUAAGGGAAACCCCCUCUCCCACGCCUUCCUAUGGACAGCAGUCCACAGCCACUCUUACGCCCUCACCUCCUGACCCUCCCCAGCCCCCAACUGACAUGCCCCAUCUCCAUCAGAUGCCCAGGAGGGUGCCUCUUGGGCCGAGUUCCCCUCUCAGUGUAUCCCAGCCCAUGCUGGGCAUCCGUGAAGGGAGGCCUGCUGGCUUGGGUGCUGGCCCUGCAGCCUCACCCCACCUCAGCCCCAGUCCUGCCCCUAGCACAGCCAGCAGUGCCCCAGGCAGAACCUGGCAGGGGAAUGGGGAGAUGACUCCCCCACUUCAAGGACCCCGUGCUCGAUUCCGGAAGAAACCCAAGGCUCUUCCCUACAGGAGGGAGAACAGUCCUGGGGACUUGCCCCCACCACCCUUGCCACCGCCAGAGGAAGAGGCGAGCUGGGCCCUAGAGCUGAGGGCAGCAGGCAGCAUGUCCUCCCUGGAGCGGGAGCGCAGUGGGGAGAGGAAAGCGGUACAGGCUGUGCCCCUGGCAGCCCAGCGGGGGCUCCACCCGGAUGAAGAGGCCUGGCUCCCGUACAGCAGACCAAGCUUCCUGUCCCGCGGCCAGGGCACCAGCACGUGUUCCACGGCCGGCAGCAACUCUUCCAGGGGCUCCAGCAGCUCUAGGGGCUCCCGGGGCCCUGGCCGGAG